AUGUACUUCUGUGUACACUCCGGCUCCUGCGCUCCGGCCUCCCCCAUUUCAGAACCGCUCGCUACGAUUUCUGUCGC
RNAcentral lists this small RNA (77 nucleotides) under Gallionella sp. RNAcentral's name for it is "sX9 sRNA". It matches the Rfam family "Xanthomonas sRNA sX9". The record is from RNAcentral. Lineage: Bacteria; Pseudomonadati; Pseudomonadota; Betaproteobacteria; Nitrosomonadales; Gallionellaceae.